GCUCGUGUGGUGGCACAUGCCUGUAAUCCCUGCAGCUCUGGAGGCUGAGGCAGGAGGAUCACAAGUUCAAAGACAGCCUCAGCAAUGGCGGAGGCUCUGAGCAAUGCAGUGAGAUCCUGUCUCUA
This 125-nucleotide small RNA is filed under the name Marmota monax (woodchuck). Lineage: Eukaryota; Metazoa; Chordata; Mammalia; Rodentia; Sciuridae. The record is from RNAcentral.